GGAUUCAAAGUUAACAUUUAAUCUGCAGAAUAUGACCAGAUUAAAGCUGCUUUUAACCAAAUUCUUGUUGUUUUUAAGUCUCACAUCUUCAGGAGGAGUAAACGAGCAACAACACAUAAGCAGGAGGAAGUGGGGACUGAGAACCGAAGGAACACCAGAACCAAGCUCACCCCAAAGAAAGCAGAGAGCUCUUCCUCAGGUUGUCGGUUUGACUCCCAGAGCAGCAGGAAGGACGGCACGCUGCAGAAGAUCGGAGACUUCCUGCAGAGCUCCCCGACUCUGCUGGGCUCCAAAGCCAAGAAGAUGAUGAGCCUGGUCAGCGGCCGUCUGGACCCAGACUCAGCAGCCGCCUCUUCCUCCCUCAGCCUGAGGGCCAAGAGGGGCAGAAAGAAACUCUACAGACCUGAAAUCUCCUGCCCCAUGGACAUGCCCCCCCACCCGAUGAUCAACCAGGAGACGGACGGCGAGGGCCAGAACGACCAUGACAUCAUCAAACGGCGCCUGCGCAGCAGAGCGGCUAAGUCCUAGCGCUGCCCUCCAGAACUUUACUGUAGAAAUGAAGCUGCUGGUGACGGAUCGUUGUUCUGAGACGCAUUUAUUGGAUCAGUUCUGUGGAGGCCGACCCGUUAACACUAACCAGCAUUUAGAAGUUCAUGUUUCACUUUAUUAACCAGCAAUGGUUCAUCUCUAAUGUGCAAUCUGCUCUAACUUCACCUCCUAGAACACUUUGUGGAACGUUUAACGGUUCUGCUGCAAAGUCUCACUUUAACCUGAAUCAUUAUGUUCUGACGGGUCAUCCGGUCUCAUCAGA
Fundulus heteroclitus (mummichog) is the source of this 811-nucleotide long non-coding RNA. RefSeq lists it as uncharacterized. NCBI's taxonomy places the organism in Eukaryota, Metazoa, Chordata, Actinopteri, Cyprinodontiformes, Fundulidae. The transcript is spliced from 5 exons. The record is from RefSeq and is a predicted model, not a curated record.